GUUAUAUGGUCAAGCGAAUAAGCGCACACGGUGGAUGCCUUGGCGGUCAGAGGCGAUGAAGGACGUGGCAGCCUGCGAAAAGUAUCGGGGAGCUGGCAACAAGCUUUGAUCCGGUAAUGUCCGAAUGGGGAAACCCACCCGCUUGCGGGUAUCCUGCAGUGAAUACAUAGCUGCUGGAAGCGAACCUGGUGAACUGAAAUAUCUAAGUAACCAGAGGAAAAGAAAUCAACCGAGAUUCCGUAAGUAGCGACGAGCGAACGCGGACUAGCCCUUAAGCUGAUUUGGUUCUAGGAAAACGCUCUGGAAAGAGCGGCCAUAGAAGGUGAUAGCCCUGUAUCUGAAAGGGCCAUUCCAGUGAAGACGAGUAGGGCGGGGCACGUGAAACCCUGUCUGAACAUGGGGGGACCAUCCUCCAAGGCUAAAUACUACUGACCGACCGAUAGUGAACCAGUACCGUGAGGGAAAGGCGAAAAGAACCCCGGAGAGGGGAGUGAAAUAGAACCUGAAACCGUGUGCGUACAAGCAGUAGGAGCUCCGCAAGGAGUGACUGCGUACCUUUUGUAUAAUGGGUCAGCGACUUACUGUUCGUGGCAAGCUUAACCGUAUAGGGGAGGCGAAGGGAAACCGAGUCUGAUAAGGGCGCAUAGUCGCGGGCAGUAGACCCGAAACCGGGUGAUCUAGUCAUGCCCAGGGUGAAGGUGCGGUAACACGCACUGGAGGCCCGAACCCACUCCCGUUGCAAAGGUAGGGGAUGAGGUGUGAUUAGGAGUGAAAAGCUAAUCGAACCCGGAGAUAGCUGGUUCUCCUCGAAAGCUAUUUAGGUAGCGCCUCAUAUGUAUCCUCUCGGGGGUAGAGCACUGUUAUGGCUAGGGGGUCAUCGCGACUUACCAAACCAUUGCAAACUCCGAAUACCGAGACGGACUGUAUGGGAGACACACGGCGGGUGCUAACGUCCGUCGUGAAAAGGGAAACAACCCAGACCCACAGCUAAGGUCCCAAAUUUUGUGCUAAGUGGAAAACCAUGUGGAAAGGCACAGACAGCCAGGAGGUUGGCUUAGAAGCAGCCACCCUUUAAAGAAAGCGUAAUAGCUCACUGGUCGAGUCGGUCUGCGGGGAAGAUUUAACGGGGCUAAGCACAGAACCGAAGCUUGGGGUGCAUAACUUUGUUAUGCGCGGUAGAGGAGCGUUCCGUAAGCCGUUGAAGGUGGAUUGAGAAGUCUGCUGGAGGUAUCGGAAGUGCGAAUGCUGACAUGAGUAACGAUAAUGCGGGUGAAAAACCCGCACGCCGAAAGCCCAAGGUUUCCUUGCGCAACGUUAAUCGGCGCAGGGUGAGUCGGCCCCUAAGGCGAGGACGAAAGUCGUAGUCGAUGGGAAGCAGGUUAAUAUUCCUGCACCUCGCGUAAGUGCGAUGGAGGGACGGAGAAGGUUAGGUGUACCAGGCGUUGGUUGUCCUGGGGAAAGGCGGUAGGUUUGGAUCUUUGGCAAAUCCGGGAUCCUCUAAGACCGAGCACCGAGACGAGCCUUUAUGGCGAAGUCACUGAUACCACGCUUCCAGGAAAAGCUCCUAAGCUUCAGCUUACGCAGACCGUACCGUAAACCGACACAGGUGGGUAGGAUGAGAAUUCUCAGGCGCUUGAGAGAACUCGGGUGAAGGAACUAGGCAACAUGGCACCGUAACUUCGGGAGAAGGUGCACCCUUUUUGGUGGCUCGUGCGAGCUAUAGCUGAAGAGGGUCGCAGUAACCAGGCCGCUGCGACUGUUUAUCAAAAACACAGCACUCUGCAAACACGAAAGUGGACGUAUAGGGUGUGACGCCUGCCCGGUGCUGGAAGGUUAAUUGAUGGGGUCAGCCGCAAGGCGAAGCUCUUGAUCGAAGCCCC
RNAcentral lists this ribosomal RNA (1880 nucleotides) under Salmonella enterica subsp. enterica serovar Typhimurium. Its description in RNAcentral is "partial 23S ribosomal RNA". It matches the Rfam family "Bacterial large subunit ribosomal RNA", at positions 1 to 1921 of the family's 2925-position model. The record is from RNAcentral. RNAcentral also lists the same sequence under 2 other names. Lineage: Bacteria; Pseudomonadati; Pseudomonadota; Gammaproteobacteria; Enterobacterales; Enterobacteriaceae.